AUCUCUUUGGAGACAUCCGAUAAAAUUGGAACAAAACAAAGAAGAUUAGCAUGGUUCCUGCGCAGGUAUGCCAUACACUCAUAGCAAGAAAGGCAUAAUAGA
Molecule: small nuclear RNA, 102 nt
Organism: Magnolia sinica
Lineage: Eukaryota; Viridiplantae; Streptophyta; Magnoliopsida; Magnoliales; Magnoliaceae
Source: RefSeq, a predicted model, not a curated record